RNAcentral lists this small nucleolar RNA (88 nucleotides) under Enterobius vermicularis (human pinworm). RNAcentral describes it as "Small nucleolar RNA R38". It matches the Rfam family "Small nucleolar RNA R38". From Rfam's summary of the family: snoR38 is a C/D box small nucleolar RNA conserved across yeast, human, Arabidopsis and rice. Lineage: Eukaryota; Metazoa; Nematoda; Chromadorea; Rhabditida; Oxyuridae. The record is from Rfam by way of RNAcentral.
CCAGCCGAGUGAUGAACGUCAAUUACAGUUAUCCCUGUCUGAGAACAAUUGGUAUCCGAGCUGACAAUUCCUCGUUUCUGACGGCUGG